This 380-nucleotide ribosomal RNA is filed under the name uncultured eukaryote. RNAcentral describes it as "partial 18S ribosomal RNA". It matches the Rfam family "Eukaryotic small subunit ribosomal RNA", at positions 592 to 976 of the family's 1831-position model. The record is from RNAcentral.
CAAUAGCGUAUAUUAAAGUUGUUGCAGUUAAAAAGCUCGUAGUUGGAUUUGUGGCGUACGGUGGGUUCCGGGCACUUGUUGUCUGAGUAACUUGCUGUUGCCAUCCUUGGGUGGAACCUGUGUGGCAUUAGGUUGUCGUGCAGGGGAUGCCCAUCAUUUACUGUGAAAAAAUUAGAGUGUUCAAAGCAGGCUUAUGCCGUUGAAUAUAUUAGCAUGGAAUAAUGAGAUAGGACUUUUUUGCUAUUUUGUUGGUUUGCGCAAAGAGGUAAUGAUUAAUAGGGACAGUUGGGGGUAUUCGUAUUCCGUUGUCAGAGGUGAAAUUCUUGGAUUUACGGAAGACGAACUACUGCGAAAGCAUUUACCAAGGAUGUUUUCAUUAA